RNAcentral lists this transfer RNA (65 nucleotides) under Taenia multiceps. RNAcentral describes it as "tRNA-Lys". The record is from RNAcentral. Lineage: Eukaryota; Metazoa; Platyhelminthes; Cestoda; Cyclophyllidea; Taeniidae.
ACCUAUAUAUUCUAACUAUAAGAGGCUGGAUUCUUACUUCAGUAAUGUGGGUUUCACUGUAGGUU